AAGCUAACUGAGUGUUUUAAAGAUGUUAAAGACUGGAUGACCAACAAAGUUUUUUCUCCUAAAUUUAGAUAAAACAAAAGUAUUACUUAUUGAGCCAAACUCCUGUACACAACAGAUCUCACAACUUGACCUGCAAUUGGAGGGAUACAAAGUUAGCGUUACCUCUGCUAUAAAAGAUCUGGCUGUCAUAUUAGACAGCAACUUAACUUUUGAAAACCAAAUCUCCCAUGUUUUCUUUCAUCUGAGAAAUAUUGCUAAGUUAAGAAGCUCCAUCUCAGAUGCAGAAAAGCUAGUUCUUGUGUUUAUGACUUCUAGGCUGGAUUACUGUAAUGCAGACAUCCCAAGCCUCUUAGAAGCUCCGGGAGUAUCCCACAACUGCAUAGUGACUCCGCAAAUGAAUUAAUAAAAUCGCGCAUCUCUCACCAAGUCCUUAAAUACGUUGCACACUCCUCUCCACUGCAUCCCUCCCAGCUCUUCAGGUAUGUCGAGUGCAACUCACCCCCACCGCUCUUCAGGUAUGUCUUGUGUGCACACGCCCUUACUCAGAUUCAUCGCUCACCACCAACCCUGGUAAAGCAUACUCUUAAUGCUUCACAUAAUGGUAUGAUGCAUGAAUGUGCUCCACGCAGGUGAGUGGGCUUGACAGACCACCUGUAAGACACUCUCCUCUCUUAAUGCACCAGGCAUUUUGUUAGAAAUACAUGUAUGCUUUAUAUGUCUGUUUUUAUGUUAUGUUUAUUGUUUUUUUGUUUUUUCAGCUACAAUAAAAGCAAGUUUUUAGUUCUGUUAAGUAAUAAGUUAUGCGGAUAUAAAGUGUAACAUACACUAUAUCAGUUACAACAUAAGGCCGUGGAAGAUUUUUUCAUCCAUAUUUGAAAUUUUGUUUCAUAAAAGUAAUUUUAAACAAAAAGAAAACAAUUUACUUGGGAAUGGCUCACGUUUUCAUUAUUUUUUAUUUAUGACAAUGUGAACUCAAAUCUGACUUUAUAUCUCUCCAGUUACAGGCUUCAGGCAUGAAAUGUGUAAAAAAGGCUGAAUAAAAUGUAGAGAUCAGUUUAAAAUGAGUAACAAUAAGCUGUUUGUCUCUUCAGGCUGAGAAUCAUGAAUAAUGCUGCUGAAGAUCAACAGGUUUCUCUCACUUGUCGAAUGUCUUCUUUCAGAUUGUGGAGGAAGCUCCUACAAGAAGCUUGAGUUUGAUCCAGAAUGGCUGGCCAUCUUGAAAGCGACAGACAACCUUCAAAAACCAUCCGCCAGUUUCUGGAACCCUCUGUUGGACAACACAGCAGACACAAAACACAUAACAACGAUUUACUGAUAGCUUUCUGAUACUACUGUACCCUUUUCACAAGCCUGACGUGUUUAGCUGUCUUCGGCAUCUGAAAUCCUUAAAAAUUUUUAACGUUUUGUUUUUUAAAAAAACAUAUGAACAUUUAUAUGUGUUUAUGAAUGUAUCAUAUCAUCUUGCUUCGAAUUAAAAAAAAAAUGAAUUGUGCAAUGUGUUUCCAAUGCAGCGUCUACAAGGCUGAGAGUAAAAUUAACCUUAUUCUCUCCUCUGGCUGCUGUCAUCAGUCCCACACUAGUUUUUUCCUUUUCUGAAAGUCUUUAUAACAUCAUUGUGGAGUUUGUCUUUUAUUAUUUUACUAAGUUAUUUGUUGUACUCACUCUCCCAUUCACUGCGCUCUAUGUUUUCCCUACUAUGAUGACAGAAAUGUGAAAAGGGUCUAUUGACAACUUUGGCUUAAAAGAAUAGUUCACCCGAAAAUGAAAAUUACCCCAACAUUUACUCCAUCAUACAGUAUACCCUCAAGUCAGACUCAGGUCAGGUGUAUAAAUGUUUAUGGGGGGAUUUUUAUUUUUGGGUGACAUAUUUGUUUAACUCGUUCAUCCCAGUAGAUGUAACACAUUUACAUGACAUGCGCAAUAAAAUAAGGUCAAAUUACUG
Molecule: non-coding RNA, 1942 nt
Organism: Danio rerio (zebrafish)
Lineage: Eukaryota; Metazoa; Chordata; Actinopteri; Cypriniformes; Danionidae
Source: RefSeq, a predicted model, not a curated record